CCUACGGGAGGCAGUAGUGGGGAAUAUUGGGCAAUGGGCGCAAGCCUGACCCAGCAACGCCGCGUGAAGGAAGAAGGCUUUCGGGUUGUAAACUUCUUUUAAGGGGGAAGAGCAGAAGACGGUACCCCUUGAAUAAGCUACGGCUAACUACGUGCCAGCAGCCGCGGUAAUACGUAGGUGGCAAGCGUUGUCCAGAUUUACUGGGUGUAAAGGGCGUGCAGCCGGAGCGACAAGUCAGAUGUGAAAUCCACGGGCUCAACCCGUGAACUGCAUUUGAAACUGUUUCCCUUGAGUGUCGGAGAGGUGAUCGGAAUUCCAUGUGUAGCGGUGAAAUGCGUAGAUAUAAGGAAGAACACCAGUGGCGAAGGCGGAUUACUGGACGAUAACUGACGGUGAGGCGCGAAAGCGUGGGGAGCAAACAGGAUUAGAUACCCUUGUAGUC
This 442-nucleotide ribosomal RNA is filed under the name uncultured bacterium. RNAcentral's name for it is "partial 16S ribosomal RNA". It matches the Rfam family "Bacterial small subunit ribosomal RNA", at positions 338 to 795 of the family's 1533-position model. The record is from RNAcentral.